Long non-coding RNA from Ficedula albicollis (Collared flycatcher), 1263 nucleotides. The record is from Ensembl. NCBI's taxonomy places the organism in Eukaryota, Metazoa, Chordata, Aves, Passeriformes, Muscicapidae.
AUGUGCUGCCGUCCCGGGUGUGCUGUGUCCCUCAUGGGCCACCAUCCCUGUCCCCUGUGUGCCACCCUGUGCCCAGUGUCCUGUGCCUGUCGCCGUGCCUGUGUCACCCGUGUGUUGCCAUCCUUGUGCUGCCGUCCCUGGUUCCCCGUCCCCGUUGUCCCCCGCGUCCCACUGUCCCUGUAUCCUCCCUCUGCUGCCAUCCCUGCGCCACGUGUCCGCUGUGCGCUGCCACCCUGCGUGUCCAGCCGUGUCGCCAACCCUGUCCCGCGUCCUCUGUGCUGCCAUCCCUGCUGUCCUGUGUCUCCAUGUCGCUAUCCCCGCGUCCCCCUUGCGCUGCCAUCCGUGCUGCCCUGUGUCCCGGUCCCUGUGUCGCCAUCCCUGUGUCCCCCCCUUGUGCUGCCAUCCCUGCUGCCCUGUGUCUCCAUGUCGCUAUCCCCGUGUCCCCCUUGUCCUGCCGUCCCCGUGUCGCCAUCCCCGUUGUGCUGCUAUCCCUGCUGCCUUGUGUCUCCAUGUCGCCAUCCCCGCGUCCCGCUUGUCCUGCCGUCCCCGUGUCGCCAUCCCCGCGUCCCCCUUGCGCUGCCAUCCCCGCUGCCAUGUGUCCCCGUGUCGCCAUCCCCGUGUCCCCGUGUCGCCAUCCCCGCGUCCCCCCACCCCGUGCUUCCGCAUCCCUCCUCUUUCCCCGUCCCUCCCCGUGUCCCCUCCCCUGUCGCCGUGUCCCCGCCCCGCCAUGGCGCCGCUGGCGGACCUGUACCAGGUGUCCAUGGCCUACGGGCACUGGCGGGCGGGCAGGCACCGCGCCCCGGCCGCCGGGGGGGGGGGGGGGGGGGGGGGGGGGGGGGGGGGGGGGGGGGGGGGGGGGGGGGGGGGGGGGGGGGGGGGGGGGGGGGGGGGGGGGGGGGGGGGGGGGGGGGGGGGGGGGGGGGGGGGGGGGGGGGGGGGGGGGGGGGGGGGGGGGGGGGGGGGGGGGGGGGGGGGGGGGGGGGGGGGGGGGGGGGGGGGACGGCGAGGGGCGCGUCCCAGCGCCACUUUGAGGGACGGGGGAGCAGCUCCCGGGAGGAGAGGAUGGUUUUGGGGAGCGAUGGUGGGAGAGGGGAAAGGGAGGAACCUUCCCCGGGAAACUUUGGAGCAAGUCCAGGGGACAGGAGGGGACAGCGAGGAGCGGUGGAAAUUCGCCCCCGGGGGGAGGAUGGGGGAGCAACUCAAAGGGACUUGUCAAGGAUGGGACGGUAUCCAGGGGUGUCGGGAUGUUUCAGGGGGACUUAA